UACAGAGGUCUCAAGCGUUGUUCGGAUUCAUUGGGCGUAAAGGGUGCGUAGGCGGUGAAAUAAGUUGGAUGUGAAAUCCCGGAGCUUAACUCCGGAACUGCAUUCAAUACUGUUUUGCUAGAGUACUGGAGAGGAGAUUGGAAUUCACGGUGUAGCAGUGAAAUGCGUAGAUAUCGUGAGGAAGACCAGUGGCGAAGGCGAAUCUCUGGACAGUUACUGACGCUGAGGCACGAAGGCCAGGGGAG
This 245-nucleotide ribosomal RNA is filed under the name uncultured bacterium. RNAcentral describes it as "partial 16S ribosomal RNA". It matches the Rfam family "Bacterial small subunit ribosomal RNA", at positions 524 to 768 of the family's 1533-position model. The record is from RNAcentral.